UUUAUAUAAAUGUGAGUGAAACUGAAAGUCUUUGGAGUGUUUUUAAGCUGGUGAAUAAUGUGAUUUGAUUCUCACUUUUGAAAGACCACAUUAACUACUGUGUGGGAACAGAUUAUAGAGAGAUGAGGUGAAAGCAAAUAAAGAAGUUAGAAGGUAAUUGUAGGAAUUUGAGAAAGAGAUGAAAAGUGGCUGCAGUUAAGGAGAGAAAUGGAUAGACUAAAGUUAUACUUCGGUAGUGGAAUUGAUAGAAUGUUCUUAUGUGUUCCUUGUGAGGCAUAUUCCUUUGUUAGAUUUUUAGGUUAAUUAGAAAAAUUUUCAGGUUAAUUAGAAAAAUAAGAGUUUGGGUUAAUUUGGUUUUAUUUAUGGAGAGGGAUAAGACAGAGAAGACAUAGAUUUUUCUGGCAAAGAUCAAGAAUUCUCUUUUUGGGGUCAUCAAUGUAGAUUGUUUUUAAAUAGUGAGUUUGGAUAAGGUAAGCAUAGAGGAGUGUAGCUUGAGAAGACAGGAGAUGAUAGAAGGGGUGAGGAGAGCUGGGAAGGUAGGCUUGGCUCUGGACAGUACAGUGGGGGCCUCCUAUGAUUAGACAUAUGCAGAUGACAAGCAAAAAGCAAGGGCAACUUGGAAAAGCAACUAGUGAAGAGGAAGAAAAUAUUGAGAAAGAUGUUUUAUGGAAACCAAGAAAUAAAACAUUUCUGGAAGGAAGAAAAAUAAUGGUGAGAAUUUCCAGGAAGAAGUGACCAUCAAAUUUGGCACUGAUGAGACCAUUGGUAACUUCUAUAAAAGUAAUUUAAUAGGGUGAGGAGGAGGGGAUCCCAGCUGGAUUAAGAUGAAAACAGGAGAUAAAAAAGUGGAAAUAGACCCUUUUCACAAGAUGGCGCCGAAAGCGAAGAAGGAAGCUCCUGCCCCUCCUAAAGCCGAAGCCAAAGCGAAGGCUUUAAAGGCCAAGAAGGCAGUGUUGAAAGGUGUCCACAGCCACAAAAAAAAGAAGAUCCGCACGUCACCCACCUUCCGGCGGCCCAAGACACUGCGACUCCGGAGGCAGCCCAAAUAUCCUCGGAAGAGCGCCCCCAGGAGAAACAAACUGGACCACUAUGCUAUCAUCAAGUUUCCGCUGACCACUGAGUCUGCCAUGAAGAAGAUAGAAGACAAUAACACACUUGUGUUCAUUGUGGAUGUUAAAGCCAACAAGCACCAGAUCAAACAGGCUGUGAAGAAGCUCUAUGACAUUGAUGUGGCCAAGGUCAACACCCUGAUUCGGCCUGAUGGAGAGAAGAAGGCAUAUGUUCGACUGGCUCCUGAUUACGAUGCUUUGGAUGUUGCCAACAAAAUUGGGAUCAUCUAAACUGAGUCCAGCUGGCUAAUUCUAAAUAUAUGUAUAUCUUUUCAC
This is an RNA transcript of Sapajus apella (tufted capuchin), 1385 nucleotides long. It is a transcript of the gene named 60S ribosomal protein L23a pseudogene, with no coding region annotated. NCBI's taxonomy places the organism in Eukaryota, Metazoa, Chordata, Mammalia, Primates, Cebidae. The record is from RefSeq and is a predicted model, not a curated record. The transcript has a single exon.